CAACCUGCCUUCAGGAUUGGGGGACAACAGACGGAAACGACUGCUAAUACCGAAUAAGUUCCAAGAGCCGCAUGGCCCAUGGAAGAAAAGGUGGCCUCUACCUGUAAGCUAUCGCCUGAAGAGGGGUUUGCGUCUGAUUAGCUGGUUGGAGGGGUUAACGGCCCACCAAGGCGACGAUCAGUAGCCGGUCUGAGAGGAUGAACGGCCACACUGGAACUGAGACACGGUCCAGACUCCUACGGGAGGCAGCAGUGGGGAAUCUUCCGCAAUGGGCGAAAGCCUGACGGAGCAACGCCGCGUGAGUGAUGACGGCCUUCGGGUUGUAAAACUCUGUGAUCCGGGACGAAAAGGCAGAGUGCGAAGAACAAACUGCAUUGACGGUACCGGAAAAGCAAGCCACGGCUAACUACGUG
This 413-nucleotide ribosomal RNA is filed under the name uncultured bacterium. RNAcentral describes it as "bacterial SSU rRNA". It matches the Rfam family "Bacterial small subunit ribosomal RNA", at positions 122 to 507 of the family's 1533-position model. The record is from RNAcentral.